CCGGGGCUGUGGAUUUGUUUAAUGUCGUGAGUGGUGUGUGGUGGUAACUGGUAAGGAAGAUGUGGGGCAUCAUCAGGAUGGUAGCAAUGGAGAGUGUUGAGAGGCGAUGUGGAGCGAGACAAUGCACCGAACCAACGUACCCGACAAGCCUCUUAUCAUGUCCUACCCGGAUGCUGCAUGCAUGCAUGACUAGCUCUACACGAAAAAUAAUUCGGUACUCCUACAUGACAAAAGCUACAGGUAGAUUUUUUUUUUUUUGCGAGCAAGCUACAGGUAGAAUUUGAUGCGUAUCAUGCAUUCAUGCAUAUCGGUCGGUCACAAUG
This 323-nucleotide long non-coding RNA is filed under the name Sorghum bicolor (sorghum). RNAcentral describes it as "long non-coding RNA (SBIC_LNC013422)". The record is from RNAcentral. Lineage: Eukaryota; Viridiplantae; Streptophyta; Magnoliopsida; Poales; Poaceae.